GGACUACACGGGUAUCUAAUCCUGUUCGCUCCCCACGCUUUCGCUCCUCAGCGUCAGAACAGGCCCAGAGAACCGCCUUCGCCACCGGUGUUCCUCCCGAUAUCUGCGCAUUUCACCGCUACACCGGGAAUUCCGUUCUCCCCUGCCUGCCUCUAGCCAGCCCGUAUCCACUGCACGCCCGGGGUUAAGCCCCAGGAUUUCACAGCGGACGCGACAGGCCGCCUACGAGCUCUUUACGCCCAAUAAUUCCGGACAACGCUUGCGCCCUACGUAUUACCGCGGCGGCUGGCAC
Molecule: ribosomal RNA, 292 nt
Filed under: uncultured bacterium
Lineage: Bacteria
Description: partial 16S ribosomal RNA
Source: RNAcentral